UACGUAGGGGGCAAGCGUUAUCCGGAUUUACUGGGUGUAAAGGGAGCGCAGACGGAAGAGCAAGUCUGAUGUGAAAUGCGGGGGCUCAACCCCUGAGUUGCAUUGGAAACUGUUAUUCUAGAGUGCAGGAGAGGUAAGUGGAAUUCCUAGUGUAGCGGUGAAAUGCGUAGAUAUUAGGAGGAACACCGGUGGCGAAGGCGGCUUACUGGACUGUAACUGACGUUGAGGCUCGAAAGCGUGGGGAGCAAAC
This 250-nucleotide ribosomal RNA is filed under the name uncultured prokaryote. Its description in RNAcentral is "partial 16S ribosomal RNA". It matches the Rfam family "Bacterial small subunit ribosomal RNA", at positions 524 to 773 of the family's 1533-position model. The record is from RNAcentral.